Long non-coding RNA from Gasterosteus aculeatus aculeatus (three-spined stickleback), 10730 nucleotides. The record is from Ensembl. Lineage: Eukaryota; Metazoa; Chordata; Actinopteri; Perciformes; Gasterosteidae.
CAAGCUUUAUUCCACUGAUACCUUACACACAAAGCACAGUCGGAAGCUGCCUGCGGGAACGCGGCAGACGGGAAACAGAGGGGAGUGAGGUCGUGGUCGGCGGACAGAAGGCUGGUGCGGUUUUCUUUUGGGGGGAGUCCAGACGGGCACGGCCUGCAAUGGGAUACCGGUUGGAGGGCAAAUGCGGGAAAGUCUGGCAUAACGCGGAGAACUAUCAGGCAGCGAGUGAGUGAGUGGGUUUUAAAUAAUGAAGGGAGUGAGUGCAGCCGGGUGGACAGCUGGGUGGGAUUGAGCUGACACGGUGGAUGUGACUAGCAGGUGCUCUGAAUAAACUGAUUGGGUGUGUGAAAGACAGAGUGGUAGGGGGAGAGUGGGACGCUGAACUUUGACAAAAUAAAUAACAGACCUUGGCCUCCAUUUUUGUAAAUCUGGGCCUCGUUUGAAUAAAAUCUAGGUAGACACAGUGCACGGAUAUUAGUGACAUGUAAAUGUCCCACCCACACUUUAACAUCUAUUGACAAUGUAGAUGAUGUAUUUUGAAUUGUUCUGCUACCUCCAAUCCUCCCAGCCUGUACCCCUCGGGCUGCUCCUAUCCACUACACAAACGAAAUAGAGGACUACCCACUGUCUCCAAUAGUCCCCAAAGUGUCCCAGUGGCUCCAAAGCCCACUGUCUGAUAGCCAUGCAACAAACCAAAGCACAUGGCUACUGUUGAAUGCCUGAGCCCACAGCUCCACUUCUGAUUGGCAACAUGUUGUCUUCCUCGGUCAGGAUGGUUUGGUUGAGGUUCUUUGUCCUUUGUCCUUUGUUGACCUCUGUAAUAUUGGAUGUUAUUCUGAGGAAUAACAGGCUGUCAGACAUAUUGGGGUUUCAGAACAAUGGCAUGGCGCUGUAAACAGCAGCCAGUACUUUAACAUAGGGAAUGGGAUGAGCAUAAUGGUGUCUCAGAUGUAGGAAGUCUUGCACACUAGUAUCCCACUGCCCCAGACUGGAUAACUGUCAAGCUGGUGUUGCUCCCGUACAGUUCAUCUUUAGUGAUUUGAGGUGUCAGAUCCAAGUGAGAAAAUAAAGUCAACUUCUUUCAUUUCCCUCAAAAAAAUAAUAAUUUGCAAUCAUCACAACUUCUGAAUGCCAACACAAAGUCUUUUGCUUGUCCAUGAGAGUAUAAGCAGGCCUGCUUGCGGGAGCACUGCCCCCCCCUCGCCUUCGCUGCGUGGUCAUCAUUGUGUUUACAUUGAAAAGGUGGUGGAAACCACUUGCCUUGUCAGAAAGCACAUUUCUUUUUGUUGAUUAAGAGCAAUACGUUAUUUUCAGGCAAAGCACUCACAUGAAGGUCAGCACAUGACCUUUAAGAGCAGUUCAAGCCUAUUUCUUGUCUUUUAGGCGCUGAGUGCCAAUGUGGAGUCACAUAGCUAAAUUCAACAUUCCAAAUAUGCUGACAAGGAAGAUGAUGCCAACUUUCUGUCCCGCAUUUCUUCUCGGAAAUUGCCCCUUAAUCUUCUUUGUGUGUACAACACUUUGUUACUUGGCUCUAGUACAAGUCCUUCAUUGAUGGCUUUGUCGUUAUAUUUUUUUUAUAAAGACACCUCACUGAGUAAAAUGUCCCUUAAUUAUCCAGACAGAAGGACUCUGGCCUCUUACUGUGCGAAGGAUGGAAAAAAGCCAUUUUCAGUUGAAUCACUUUUUAUAAAAGUCCCCUUCAGUUUAAUCACUUUGCAGCUGGUUGAAGUCACUGGUUGUGCCAGUUUUCCUUCCUGUAUUUACAAAGACAGCCCGUCCUCUCUUAUUACGAGAUGUGUUAAGUCUAGAAUGUCCCAGAGAAACCCAUAAACCUCAGUCUUUCGAAGUAUAGUGUUUAAAAAACAAACAAGGAAAACAUUUGAGCCCUGGGUUUAGUCCUCUGAGUCAUAAACAAUAAUAAUGAGAAAGGUUCACAAGGUUAAGUCAAUCGCCCAUUAAAUGUGACUGUAAAGCGACAGUGCGAGUGUUUACAUGCAUUGUCAUACUAGCACUGAACCAUCAAAGACUGCAGCCCAGUAUCGAUUUCGCACUGUAUGAGUGACUUGUAUCAAAAACAUGUGAAGUUAUUUUGCAUUCCCCUCUGUGCAUUUGUUCAUCCAGGGUGCUUUGAUCAUUCUGCCAAUGAACGAGGAUAACGUUCAAUAAAAAAAUAAAUAUGAUACAAGAAAAAUGCAUGCAAAGACACGCUCUUUAGGCUUGCUCAACUUUUACAAAGUUUGAUGCAUUUCUUUUCAUGUUACAGCUCCUUGGAAAAAGACGAAUGUUAGAGUCCAACUUACAGAUGUAAGGUCCAUAAAAUGUCCCGAAUGCACUGAACGUAUAUUAAUCCUAAACCUAUUAAGUUAGAAGUCUCAAUGUUCAGCAUUUCUCCACCCUGUUAUUAAUAUUUAUAGUUUCACUGCCAGUCAUGAUCCAAUACUCGCUUUAAUCGUUGACACAGAUCUGAAGAUCAAAAAGAAACAUACCCUGAUGUCUAAUUUGUCUGCAGCUUUGGACGGCAUUAUCCCUGAUGAAUAAUCCAUGUAUGGUCGAAUGAAGUCCGCCAAGGCCGUAAAGCUAUCAUAACAAAGCACAGAGUCAUCUCUGCACGGCGCUGUGAGCAGAGACCAUGGGAUGCCUGCUCCUUCACCUCCGACAGAGGAGAAGUGACAGAGAAGAAUGACGCAGGUUAUGACGCUGUGAACUUUAAAUUGGUAACUAGUAUUGUGGCUCCCAAACAGCGGGCCGCAGCAGGAGGUACAUGUCUGUUUUCUAAAGUCCGCUCGGCUCAGACAAUGGCACCGGCUCACAUUGUGCCAACACCCACUACUUCUGCUCAGAAGGCCGCAGGCUGCCAGCGAGAGCCGCCAGGCCUGGUCAUGGACUUCGGAGGUGUGGUGCAGUGAUGAUGGUUGGUCUGGUCUGGCAAUGUGAGCGUGUGAUCAACAGACUGCCACUUGGAUUAAAAGCCAAGUCAAGGUCGCAUAAUAUUACUCAGAAACCAAGGAUAUAGGCAUUAAAGGUUAAAUAUUCUAAUUAAAUGAUGUCCUAGUUAAAUAACUAAUGAGAUCACACACCGUCAUCAACUAUGACCUCAAUGGGGAUACAAUUUUCCUUUGGACAAAGUUGUUUUAGCUGACAUCCGUAUUGAGCUGGCUGGGUAAAAAGACUUUUUGUGCUAGGUUCAAAAGAUUGUCCUGUAUUCACAUCCUUGCAAAGGUUAGCUAACAGAGGAGGCAGAUGGUGCAGCUGCUUCCAAUUUUAGUAUGAAUGAAGUCUGGGAAAACACAACUGAUCAAUAGGCUGUAAUAGGAAAGACACACCCAUUACGGUAGACAGUCCAUAUACUCCGUCAACAUCUGCCAAGGGUGUGGCGGCCGGUCUUUACAUCUCCUUCUCAUUCUAGUCACUUUCUCUCUGUCGAUUUGCAUUCUGACAUGUUUAAUGACAUUAAUUUAAUACAUUAAAGAUGUCAAGUGGCGUUACACAGGUCCAUGAUAACCAUCAACUCUUUGCAUGAAGUUUGUAGGACCUCAAGGAAUUUUCUACACUGCUGCCAAUGGCAGUCCUGCCAACCCGGUGAGCCCACACUGCAAGAAUUCAGUUUGACUUCAAUAUUUCAGGAGCAUGAACGGCCUUCUAAGUAAAAAGUUAGCUGAAUAAUGAGAGCAGCAAGUCAGAGGUAAAGACUUUUUAUACAUUACAUUAAUUUUUAAAUGGGUCUAAAUUUCAAAUCAAAAUUGUGUCUGUUCCCUCUUCAAACUGCUCCACAUAUUAACUACUGUAAUGUACUUGGUUAUGGGAGGGCUACACAAACGAUGUCCUGCUGUUACAAGGUUGUUAAAAACACAUAUUUUUACAAACUUCAUCGCCAAAAUACAAACUUCCCAUGUGAGACUUCUCCAACUCCCUGUUGGUUUUGGAAAUGUAACAUCUGCAAACCGACUGGAUUUGUGCUUGUAUAAAAUAGUUUUGAGCAACAAUUUGGGCUUUUCAUGGUAAUACUUCAAUGAGUGUGUGAAUCCAGAAUAGUAUAAUGACACACGAUGUUUCUAACGAGCCUGGUUGGCUAGUUCUCUUUGUCAUGGCCCUAGGCGUUUGUUGUUGAUAGAAAGACACCCUUUGGCCUCUGAGACAAAGUCUGUGUGGAAGAGAGGACAGGGAGGACGGACAGUUUUGGUCAAACCUAAUACUUGUUCCAAAAGUCCACCUAUCCUGUUCAGUGUGAAACCUGGGUAAAAAUUGACUUAUUCAUAUUGUAUAUGUUGUGUAACCCAAUGACAAAACGCUAUGAUUAUUUACUAAACAUAUCCAAGUAGUUCUGUUGCUUUAACUUAGCCUAGUAGUUAGUCAGCGUGUUUACAUGGAUUCGAAUAACUGGCUUAGUCGGACUGAAAUCGAAUUAUCCGUUUCAUGUAAACACCUUUGUCCGACAAUGUGCGGUCCGACUACGAACCCCUGGAUAACUCGAUCCGAUCCAGUUGAUAAUUUGACUAUUGUGGCAUUUAAUGUGACUUUGCGUCUUUGCGCAUGUGUGAGAUCCCAACGGCGUCUUCUCUCCGUUAUCAAAUCAGCCAAUAGCGCCAUUCACAUUUGCUGUGCUCCUAUUAACAUCAUGCAAACAUAGUAGAGGGAUGUAGCUUCACCUUGCUCUCCGUUCGCCAUGUUGUUGUUGUUGGUAGUGGUGUAGAGGUCAAGCGGAAAUGGCUGUAUCACAACUAGUUGUAAUGAAAACAGCGCCACAUAUCGUAUCGGAUGACAUGCUUUCGGCCAAUGAUUCGAUUUAUUCACUGCCAUGUGUAUUGGGAUAAUAGCACUUGCUCCGAAAGAUAGCAUAGUCCGACUAAGCAAAGAUUCCAAUUAUACCAUCAUGUAAACACACUGUGACACAACAGAAUAUUAAAAUAUGUAUGAUCACGAGAGAAAGUGACUGCUAGCAAGCUAAGAUCACUUUCAACUACGAUACUAUACCAUUACAAAUAAUCACUCUUCAAAUUGAUCAUAUAUUUUUUUUUAAAGAUGAUCUCUUAAAUUGAAAAAUCAAAAAGAAAUUUUCAGUCAGCUAAGAUUUUCGGCAACAUUGUUCAGAAUGUCUGGACCAAAUUCCUACUCUAAACUGUUGAUUUUAACUUUAUUUACAGUUAAAACAGUUUGUGAGAUUACAACAGUAGCCAACAAGAGUUUCAAUACAUGUCUACUUAUAAAAGGUCAUUGCCCACUUUAGAUAGAGAUCCUGUCCUUUUAGCGUAAUCUCCUUUAACUCAUAAUAAAAUGUUUAGUAAAAUGUUUGAUGGCUAGAUGCUAGCUGUUUGACGCUUGGCAGGUAUUGCUCUUUGGAUUUAACGCAGCUCGGCUUUUAGUUUGGUCCAACUCAUCCUGUUUUUGUUGUCAAGCUAUUUAUUGUGGCGGUGAAAAUGCUGCCCACAACAUGCAAUCUGCAGUUUUUUACAAGACUGUUAAAGUUAUAUUAAUGAACAAUGUGUAAUGGAAUUUACAGCGUAGGAGAGCCACAGGGGGCCCUCCCACAAGCCUCACUAUUUGCUCUGGAGCUGUAGAGAGAUAUGAAGCAGUUAUGUUGGAAGAAUUGUAGAGCCCGCCUCUGGACUGACAGAAGAAGACCUGCCAGGCCUUUCAAGCCGUACCCAAAUCCCCCCCGGCUCAGACCUCGCACACAUGGAUCACCGGAACGUUUCUUUGCGUGAGGGAUGCAGGCAUGGACAAAUACACACACACCACACACACACAUACACACACACACAGCACGUCACCAGAGUGAUGCUGCGCAGACAAGAUGAGGUCAUAUGUUUCAUGUUAGCUGAUCUAAGCCCAGUCCCCUCGAUACUUAAGUCAGUGACAAGCCGGUCGGUCCCGCAAGAAUUUAAGCUUGAUAAUGCUGCGGCUGAUGAUGAUUAACUGGUGGUCGUUGAAAAUGGGCUUUUUAAUCUCUCCUACCAACUGGAAAUCUUGAUUGUGUAUGUACGUGAGACUGGCGUGUGUGUGAUUGUAGGCUUUUUUCUUUUUGACUAAAGUCCAUCUUCCUUCCCACAGCUGGACGUGCAUAGGCCUUACCAUCAGCCGGCAGCUGGGCUUGUCCGCCAAUCAGCCACCUGCAUGAUUACCAACAGCUGGAAAAGUACUGCUGGGGUGGGGGAGGGGCUGCACAGGCUCGGGCUGGUGGUGGUGAAGGAACGGGGGGCUGAGGGGAGUUGAAGAAGGAAGAAGGGGGAAAUAACAAGGAGGCCUUGAAAGAAGAAUAGAGACAAUAGUGACAUCAAGUCAAAGUAAAGUAAGGGAUUCUUUUGUUGUUGACAUGACUUUUUUUGAUAGGCCCCUAAGAGGACAUUAUAUAUAUAUAAUAUAUAUAUAUUUUGUCACAUGUAUCGUUGCAGAUGUCCUUUAUUGCCCUGUUGUGGCAAAAUGAUGUGAGGUCACACAUUUGAAGGGAGAGGACCCCUCGAUAUGAAACACAUGCAGCUUGUAACACGUAUUUGCAGGGUUUGAAAAAUGUUGAGGAAUUGGGUUCUGUUCAUGGACAUUCGGAUAUUCUGCCCCACUUCGAAGCUGUCACAUUUUUUGAAAUUCUAUAUGAGUAAUGCAAAUCUUUUAGUGUCAACGGCAUAAAGGUUGACCUUUAUAUGAAAGGCAGUAAUGGUGUUCCUUAUUCAUUGCCCUGGGCGAAAUGGAAAUAUAAAACGGCUGAACUCGGAGUGGCCAGAGGAAGGUAAUUGCUUCUGCCAUCCUCAAACAUUUUCCUCCCCGCUUCCAACUUGUUAGAGGCCAAUCCGAGGCACAUCAUUUUCCCCGUGAACCUCUCGCAUCUAUGUUCCCUCGCCGCGCGUAAUAAACACAACGUGCUAGCUGUGCCUUCAGUUUCGUAACCAUAACAUAGUGAGUGUUUUUAAUGACACUUCUUUCGCUUUGUCAGACUAAGGGCAGCUCGCUCACCUCUCGGUGGCUUUCUGAGCCGCCUCGGUUUGAUUGCGUUUCCUCUGCUCUGCUGUGAAAUCCACUGCGGUUAUAAGGACAUUCAUCACUCUCGCUCAAUGGCUUUUAAGUUUUUCAAAAGGGGAACUCUUACAUCUAUGGUCAAAGAUUUUUGGAAAUAGUGUUUAAAAUCCCUGUUUUUCUUUGCAGUCAAUGAAUGACCUUUUCUAAAAAAAACAGUAAUCCGUCAAACUGACUUGUCGUCCCCAUCUUGCGUGCUCGUUUAGGACGGUCCCAACAUCAGUUUGUCAUUUUCCCGUCUACGCUUCAGGCUGUCCUGGAACUAAUCCAUAACAAAGAAUAUGAUCACAGACUUUACCCAUGUCCCUCAGUCCACUUUGAAAGAAGGAAUAACGUUUUCAGUUUUGUUUCGGAGCCACCGAGCCUCCCUCUUGUUUUUCAAUCUAAGUCCACACAACGUGAUUGGUUGAUGGCUCAUUUUAGGAGUGCGGAAGCUCAGAACUAUUGACCUCCAAACUCCACUUUCUUGCAGCAUAAUUUUUGAGUUCUGUGUAAAAGUAGCGAGCAUUUCUCAGUUAUGUCCACAAACACUGCAAGUAUUUUCGAACGAGGGCGGCGAAAGAGCCAAAGACCACAGACUGUGGAGUCGCUUGAAGGGGACAAGCCUUCCGAGCCAGCGUUGUUGUUCUGGGACAUGCAGCAUAGGGGCGAGAUGACAGCCAGAGAGGGGGAGAAGACACAGUGGCAGGACUGUGGCCUGUCUUCCUGUAUCAAUCUAAUCUGGAUGUAAACACAGCUGCUGUGAAGCAACUCAUGCAUGGCCCUCUACACCAGCUGGCUGUGCAAAAUGAACUUUGACCCAGCAGCGAGCCUAUUCCUGGGGAGAAAUCCACGAGUAGCUUGGGAAAAGUAAAUCCUACAGUUGGGUGUAGCGUGUCAUUCCAAGGGGACAGGCUUUGUCUAUAAGGCAAUCCCUGGUGUGGUGCUGUGCCUCUUUCUCAGCCCACACAGACUCGCAUGUAUCCUGGAGACAACUAUGCAAUCUGAAAGACAGCCCAAACUCUGUUCAGCUCUUUCUAUCAUGGAGUUUGCCCGUGUAAAUGGCUUGAAUCAGGUAACUUUUCAACGGAACAUGAGGAUGACAUCAUUCCUUGGUGAGGAGAAUGACUCACAGGCUAAGAAGUCAAAACCAGGCCCCCCAGUAGAAACAAAGCAUAACUUGUGCUUUUUCUCCCUACUUUUUCCAUGCAGACACGCAAGAGAUAAAAGAGGGAAUGAGGCGGGAAAAAAAAAAGAGGACACACAACUUCAGACGGAGCGGGAAACAACAAUACAGAUAAGGUAGAGUUUGUGGGAGGAAUGAAGGGUGGAAAAAGUUUCAAAAACAUGCACAAAUAAUAAUAUAAAAGUGAAAGAGGAGAAAAGAUGAAAGUGGGUUUUUCCACGUCGCUUUGACUUAUAAAACCUGGGAAAGACAACUGUGUGAAGUUCUGGAAACUCGAGGGUAGCUCACAGCGAGAUCCGGUAUAACAAAACACAGCAAGAAAAGUGAAGCAUCCAAAAGAAAUCCGCCGCAACAUCUGAAAGAGAACAGCGGUGGGAGAAUGCAUGGUCACCACCAAUUGAUACGCCCUCAAAAGUCUUGCAAAUGUUUUCUUUUAAGGAUUAUAGUGUCUUUUUAACUACUGCUCUGCUCUGUUGUUUUCUUAUUGUUAGUGAAGAGUGAGGCUGAGCAAACACCAUGUCUGAUCUAAAAACACAGAUGUUUGACAGGAAAUUAAAUGCUGUGGCCACUCUGUGCCUAUACCUUCCAAGAAGUCCGGGUUCAUCUUCUGUUAAAUUCACAAGAACAUAACAGCGCUGAUAGACAGCCCGAGAUUGAUCUGAAUAGAUAAAUAGCUAAUUAGGUGAACUGAGCCAGGAGCGGCAAGUCUCCAAAAGGAGCACACAGUCCAAGUGGAGUCCAACUUUCCCUUCCCAGACUGUGGAAAACAAUACUAAUAUGCAGUUUUCUCUGGUUAGUGAUGGAGAGGCAGAGAUUUCUGGUUCAAGUCCUGUGCUGCCGGGGCAUCGCCGAUGCUGCCGCAUUGUCAGAGGCCUGCAUGCAAGCACUCUCCUCAAGGUAGUUUUGCCGCAGCUUUCAGAUGAAGGUUGGUUUUGGGAAGGGGAAGAAACCGUCCAAGUGUCAACACUGGAGAUUGAUGCUUUUAUUUGCUGUCACCCGCAACCCACAAAGUAUUCACUCCAAGGAAAGUGUUGCAUUCUCUCAUUCAAGGAAUACUUCAGAGGCAUGCAUUUGCAAGUGAAUACCAGAAAUUGGACGGAUGGGGUUCAACGUGUUGGAACAUCAGGCCUUUGUUUCACUUCAAACUCCUUCUUGCCCAAUGACUUUGGUUUCAGAGGUUCUGAGUAUUCCGAUUGACCACAAACCAACAAUCAUUUUCUGCGAAUGGUAGGCUUUAAUUUCUGUUGAUAGCCCUGCACACCACACCAAUCUCAGUUUAGAACCAAAGUGUUUCUGUUUGUAUAGAAGCCAAAAACCUGGCCCAACUAAAUUCGCCUGCCCUCUGCACUCGUUUACAGGCCUGACCUGAGGCAGAAAAUGCAGAAGAACGUUCAAGUUCAAACAGCCUGAAGGCCGACCAUGGAAACUGACAGGAGCCUCAAAAUGUCAUGAUGGGCCAGAGUGCGUGACGUGGAGGGGCAAGGCCCACGGUGAAAUUAACGAGGGAGAAAUUCGUCAGAGGCCACAUUCUUUGACCCAAGUGUGACCUCACAAUUCCUGAGGCCUCCCACCAGAUGAACAACACUGAGUAAGAUCUAAGAUUACACAUGGUUAAGGAAACGAUCCCAACACAUAUUAGACUGUGGUGAAACACAACGCGAAUAGAUAUUUAGGCAUGAGGGUUUGAAUGACUAAGCUUUUCUGGAGCUGAGAUCAGGCCUCCAUCUCCGCAUACAUCCCUGUCAUGGUCGUAAAACAUUCUGCUCCCACAUCAAGGAGUUUAGUGUAAUUGCUUUGCUCGUCAAGCAAGGGGACAUGGGACAAAACUAAAUCUAAGUAAAGGAGGGGAGCAAGUGUCCUUGAGUGCAGGCAGUGUGUGGCUUGUGGUAACUCUGAGGAGGGAGAUUAUCGGUUUGUGCCAGCUCCACAUUUCUCAACGUAAAGUUUUGGCUUUAGGUUACCAGUCAAGGUGAGAAGGGGUUUUGUAAUUCAAUUCUUGUGGACACGCUGCACUUAUUUAAAGUAACAUUAGCCACCCACUUUUAAUCCUGCUCAGUUAAGAUUGUAAUAAACGGGCUCGUCUUGCAGCACUUUAGUCAAUCAAGUUUAUUGCUGUGAAAGUCCAUGAUGAGGCUAAUGAAAAGGAAUUGUGGAUUGCAGUAAACAGCUUGGAAAUCAAGUUCUUUCCUCACAGUUUAGUUAAAGCUCUUUAAUCCCAAGAUCCCAAACUUUCGAAACAUUGCAAAAAUCUUUACAAAACAUUUAAACAACAUGAAAAGAAGAACAAAAAUGUAGUGUAGUCUUAGUGAAAACCCACGUCAUUUUCAGUACAGAGCUAAAAUCGGCUAAACGGAGCCACAGGGAGAUGUCUCAAUAAUCAAUACCCUCACCUAGUAGGUCUGAAAGAAAUCUGUACACCACAACCACUUAUGCUAGACUCUAAUGCUUAUAUUGCGCUAAUGCAAAAAAAACAAAGCAAUGAAAGCCGUUGACUUUCAGCUUCAAACUAAAGGCAUUUGUUUCUGCAGGAAGAGGCUUGAUGCAUUAAAAUUAAAGUUGA